RNAcentral lists this transfer RNA (70 nucleotides) under Steatornis caripensis (oilbird). RNAcentral describes it as "tRNA-Val". Lineage: Eukaryota; Metazoa; Chordata; Aves; Caprimulgiformes; Steatornithidae. The record is from RNAcentral.
CAAGGCGUAGCUAUAACUCAAAGCACUCAGCUUACACCUGAAAGAUAUCCAUUCAACCGGAUCGCCUUGA